This 111-nucleotide transfer RNA is filed under the name Huiozyma naganishii CBS 8797. RNAcentral describes it as "Kazachstania naganishii CBS 8797 tRNA". It matches the Rfam family "tRNA". Rfam says of the family: Transfer RNA (tRNA) molecules are approximately 80 nucleotides in length. Their secondary structure includes four short double-helical elements and three loops (D, anti-codon, and T loops). Further hydrogen bonds mediate the characteristic L-shaped molecular structure. tRNAs have two regions of fundamental functional importance: the anti-codon, which is responsible for specific mRNA codon recognition, and the 3' end, to which the tRNAs corresponding amino acid is attached (by aminoacyl-tRNA synthetases). tRNAs cope with the degeneracy of the genetic code in two manners: having more than one tRNA (with a specific anti-codon) for a particular amino acid; and 'wobble' base-pairing, i.e. permitting non-standard base-pairing at the 3rd anti-codon position. The record is from Rfam by way of RNAcentral. Lineage: Eukaryota; Fungi; Ascomycota; Saccharomycetes; Saccharomycetales; Saccharomycetaceae.
GGGCGUGUGGUCUAGUGGUAUGAUUCUCGCUUUGGGCGAUUCAGAGGUACACCUUUGGAACAGCAUACUCAAGCAUGUGAGAGGUCCUGGGUUCAAUUCCCAGUAUGCCCC